UCUGUUUUUAUUUCUUAGCCUAGUGGUAGGAGCACUAGGGUGGUGUGACCUUCCCUCCAAGAGACAGAGUGUCUGGAAGAGUGCACCCCAGUAGAGAUGUGUGGGAGGAAAGGAUUUUUGUGAUGAAGAUGGGGAAACCUGAGGCCCGGAGGGGCAGGAACCUGCCCAUGGUCGCCCAGCAGUAGAGCUGGGAUCAGAACCCAAGUCUCCUGAGUCCCAGGCUAGUGCUCUAUCCCCUAGAAGACCAAACUUCCAAGUGGAUCCUGGUAAUGAGUGACUUCAAUGGGGGUAUCUGUGAAGAUCUUCUGUAGCUUUUAUCAUCAAGACG
Non-coding RNA from Chrysemys picta bellii (western painted turtle), 328 nucleotides. Lineage: Eukaryota; Metazoa; Chordata; Testudines; Emydidae. The record is from RefSeq and is a predicted model, not a curated record.